Klebsiella pneumoniae IS43 is the source of this 88-nucleotide non-coding RNA. The record is from Rfam. Lineage: Bacteria; Pseudomonadati; Pseudomonadota; Gammaproteobacteria; Enterobacterales; Enterobacteriaceae.
CUCAAUGGUGGGCCGGACGGGGGCGUCGCGAGACGCGCCGGUGUCAGUGAGGCCGGUAAGGUCAACCUCGUCCGGUUCCACCGCCAAU